Molecule: long non-coding RNA, 1705 nt
Filed under: Phasianus colchicus (ring-necked pheasant)
Lineage: Eukaryota; Metazoa; Chordata; Aves; Galliformes; Phasianidae
Description: lncRNA (ENSPCLG00000017604.1)
Source: RNAcentral
GAUGAUGGUGAUGGUUAAGCUCAGGAUAACGAUGAUGAAGAUGAUGGUGAUGGUUUGGCCAUGGUUAAGUUCAAGGUGGUGAUGAUGAUGAUGAUGAUGAUGAUGAUGAUGAUGAUGAUGAUGGUGGUGAUGGUUAAGGGCAGGAUUAUGACGGUGAUGAUGAUGAUGAUGAUGAUGAUGGUGACAAUUAAGCUCAGGAUAACGACGACGAUGACGAUGCUGAUGGUUUGGUGCUGGUUACGAUCCUGGUGAUUCAGGUGAAAAUGGCGGCGCCGGUCACAAUGACGGCUGUGGUUCCAAUCACCACCACACCGAUGGUUUCGCUCCCUCUUCCGGCCGUGACCACGACCACGGUCACCCAGUAGCCCAUCGUGGCUACCGGCGGUGACACUUCCUGUGUCCCCACCCCCAGGUUUCCCCUCCAAGCUCUGCACCCGCCCCGACCUCACCAAAUUCCUCACCAUGAUCAUCUUCCGCUGCUCCGCGCAGCACGCAGCCGUCAACAGUGGCCAGUACGACUUCGCAGCCUGGAUGCCCAACACCCCCGGGACCCUCCGGCUGCCCCCCCCCGGCCCCGAGGACCCGGUGACCCCCGACACCUUUUUGGCCACUUUGCCGUCCCCGAAGGCCACCGGGGCGCUGCUGGCGCUGCUCAGCGUCGUCAGCUACGAGGUCGGAGAGAGGGUGAGCGGGGACCGACCCUAAAAAGGACCUAUAAGAAACCCCCGUGACCCCAUAAAAACACCAGGACCCUAAAAGACCCCUGGGAAGCUGUGGGACACCAAAGAAACCCCGUGGGACCCCCAGGACCCCAUAGGAUCCCAUAGGACCACCAAGAUCCCAUAGGAUCCCAUAGGACUCCCAUGAUCCCAAAGGACCCCCAUGACCCCAAAAGAACCCCAAAAGAAGCCUAUAAGAACCCCUGUGACCCCAUAAAAACACCAGGACCCCAAAAGACCCCUGUGAACCUGUGGGACCCCGAAGAAACCCUGUGGGACCCCCAUGGCCCCAAGGGAACCCUAAAACCCCAUAGGAACCCCAGGACCCUAUAAGACCCCAUGGGACCCCCAUGACCCCAAACUUCCCCCAGGGACCCCCACGACCCCAAGGGAACCCCAAAACCCCAUAGGAACCCCAGGACCCCAUAGGAUCCCAUAGGACCCAGUAGGACUCCCAGGGACCCCCAUGACCCCAAGGGACCCCAAAGGGACCCCCAUGACCCCAAGGGACCCCAAAGGGACCCCCAUGACCCCAAGGGAACCUCCUGUGACCCCAUAGGAUACCCAUGACCCCGUAGGAUCCCAUAGGACCCCCGUGAUCCCAAAGGACCCCGUGAACCCCUGGGACCCCAAAGGGAGCCUAUAGGAACACCCUGUGACCCCAUAGGAACCCCAGGACCCUAUAAGACCCCUGUGACCCCGUGGGACCCCAUAGAACACCCCAAGGGAUCCCCAUGACCCCAAAGGACCCCUGUGACCCCAAAAGAACCCCAAAAGGAGCCUAUAGGAACCCCUCGACCCCAUAGGAACCCCAGGACCCUAUAAGACCCCUGUGACCCCGUGGGACCCCAAAGAAACCCCGUGGGACCCCCAGGACCCCAAGGGAACCCUAAAACCCAUAGGACCCCCAUGACCCCAUAGGAUCCCAUAGGACCACCAUGAUCCCAAAGGACCCCCGUGACCCCAUGGGACCCUAAAAGCAGCCU